RNAcentral lists this ribosomal RNA (423 nucleotides) under Triticum aestivum (bread wheat). RNAcentral's name for it is "partial small subunit ribosomal RNA". Lineage: Eukaryota; Viridiplantae; Streptophyta; Magnoliopsida; Poales; Poaceae. The record is from RNAcentral.
UUGGACCUUGCAGCGAACAGCAUGCCUGGCGAUCUUAGUCAAUGGAUAAUGAAGCAUUAUGAUCCAGAGAUGUCACAGAUAGUUAUUCCAGAGAGGGGGAAGAUUCCAGUAGAUGCUGCGAGUGUUCGGAGGAUAUGGGGUUUGCCAAAUAGGGGGAGAAAAGUCUGCUAUGAAAACCGCCCUGAGAUCACAAAGGCAAUGUUCAGGAUUUACAGUAUCACUUCAAAGAAUUCACCAUCUCUCACAACAUGGUGCAAGAUGAUCAAAGAUAUGGCAGGAGCUCACGAUGACGACUUCCUCCGCGCAUGGCUGUCUCUUGUUUUCUCUUGCUUCCUUGCACCAUCUACAAGUUUAAGCAUUUCACCAAAAAGCUUCCCUGCGGUCAUGGAUGUAAAUGGAAUAACUGAAACCAACAUAUGCUAG